AUUGAACGCUGGCGGCAGGCCUAACACAUGCAAGUCGAACGAGUGGCGGACGGGAGACUAAUGUCUGUGACAGUGCCCGAUGGAGGGCGAUCGCUAAUGGGAACGGUAGCUAAUACCGCAUACCAUCGGCUAUGACCAGAUGGGUUUAGCUAGGGGGGGGGGUAACGGCACACCUCGGCGACGCUCCGUAGCUGGUCUGAGAGGAUGACCAGUCACACUGGAACUGAGACACGGUCCAGACUCCUACGGGAGGCAGCAGUGGGGAAUAUUGGACAAUGGGCGAAAGCCUGAUGCAGCCAUGCCGCGUGUGUGAAGAAGGCCUUCGGGUUGUAAAGUACUUUCAGUGAGGAGGCGUUACUCGCAGAAGAAGCACCGGCUAACUCCGUGCCAGCAGCCGCGGUAAUUC
Molecule: ribosomal RNA, 406 nt
Filed under: uncultured bacterium
Lineage: Bacteria
Description: partial 16S ribosomal RNA
Rfam family: Bacterial small subunit ribosomal RNA
Source: RNAcentral